This 72-nucleotide transfer RNA is filed under the name Toxocara canis (dog roundworm). It matches the Rfam family "tRNA". Rfam says of the family: Transfer RNA (tRNA) molecules are approximately 80 nucleotides in length. Their secondary structure includes four short double-helical elements and three loops (D, anti-codon, and T loops). Lineage: Eukaryota; Metazoa; Nematoda; Chromadorea; Rhabditida; Toxocaridae. The record is from Rfam by way of RNAcentral.
GUUGAUUUAGCUCAUUGGUAGAGCGCUUUCAUAGGAUGGGAGAGGGCUGGGGUUCAACUUCCCAUAUCUGCA